Molecule: ribosomal RNA, 482 nt
Filed under: uncultured bacterium
Lineage: Bacteria
Description: bacterial SSU rRNA
Rfam family: Bacterial small subunit ribosomal RNA
Source: RNAcentral
UUGAACGCUGGCGGAAUGCUUUACACAUGCAAGUCGAGCGGCAGCGCGGGGGCAACCCUGGCGGCGAGCGGCGAACGGGUGAGUAACACAUCGGAACGUACCCAGUUGUGGGGGAUAGCCCGGCGAAAGCCGGAUUAAUACCGCAUACGACCUGAGGGUGAAAGGGGGGGAUCGCAAGACCUCUCGCAGUUGGAGCGGCCGAUGGCGGAUUAGCUAGUUGGUGGGGUAAAGGCCCACCAAGGCGACGAUCUGUAGCGGGUCUGAGAGGAUGAUCCGCCACACUGGGACUGAGACACGGCCCAGACUCCUACGGGAGGCAGCAGUGGGGAAUUUUGGACAAUGGGCGCAAGCCUGAUCCAGCCAUGCCGCGUGCGGGACGAAGGCCUUCGGGUUGUAAACCGCUUUCAGCCGGAAAGAAAUCGUCAAGGCUAAUAUCCUUGAUGGAUGACGGUACCGGAAGAAGAAGCACCGGCUAACUACGU